Molecule: ribosomal RNA, 377 nt
Filed under: uncultured bacterium
Lineage: Bacteria
Description: bacterial SSU rRNA
Rfam family: Bacterial small subunit ribosomal RNA
Source: RNAcentral
AAUCAACGCUGGCGGCGCGCUUAACACAUGCAAGUCGAACGGGAAGUGGAGCAAUCCAUGAGUACAGUGGCGUACGGGUGAGUAACACGUGGGUGAUCUACCUCUUAGUGGGGAAUAACCCUGGGAAACCGGAGCUAAUACCGCAUAAGCCCGAGAGGGAAAGUGGCUUUGUGAAACAGAGCCGCGCUGAGAGAGGAGCCCGCGGCCGAUUAGCUAGUUGGUAGGGUAAAGCCUACCAAGGCAGAGAUCGGUAGCCGGCCUGAGAGGGCACACGGCCACACUGGCACUGAAACACGGGCCAGACUCCUACGGGAGGCAGCAGUGGGGAAUCUUGCACAAUGGGGGAAACCCUGAUGCAGCGACGCCGCGUGAGCGAU